CCCCUGGUGGCUCAGCUGGUAAAGAAUCCGCCUGCAAUGCGGGAGACCUGGGUUCGAUCCCUGGCUUGGGAC
Molecule: transfer RNA, 72 nt
Filed under: Bos taurus (domestic cattle)
Lineage: Eukaryota; Metazoa; Chordata; Mammalia; Artiodactyla; Bovidae
Also listed under: 2 other names
Rfam family: tRNA
About the family: Transfer RNA (tRNA) molecules are approximately 80 nucleotides in length.
Source: Rfam by way of RNAcentral